RNAcentral lists this ribosomal RNA (433 nucleotides) under uncultured bacterium. RNAcentral describes it as "partial 16S ribosomal RNA". It matches the Rfam family "Bacterial small subunit ribosomal RNA", at positions 29 to 507 of the family's 1533-position model. The record is from RNAcentral.
AACGAACGCUGGCGGCAUGCCUAACACAUGCAAGUCGAACGAGACCUUCGGGUCUAGUGGCGCACGGGUGCGUAACGCGUGGGAACCUGCCCUUAGGUUCGGAAUAACUCCCCGAAAGGGGUGCUAAUACCGGAUAAUGUCUUCGGACCAAAGAUUUAUCGCCUUUGGAUGGGCCCGCGUUGGAUUAGCUAGUUGGUAGGGUAAAAGCCUACCAAGGCGACGAUCCAUAGCUGGUCUGAGAGGAUGAUCAGCCACACUGGGACUGAGACACGGCCCAGACUCCUACGGGAAGCAGCAGUGGGGAAUAUUGGACAAUGGGCGAAAGCCUGAUCCAGCAAUGCCGCGUGAGUGAUGAAGGCCUUAGGGUUGUAAAGCUCUUUUACCCGGGAUGAUAGUGACAGUACCGGGAGAAUAAGCUCCGGCUAACUCCGUG